RNAcentral lists this small RNA (90 nucleotides) under Pedobacter sp. SG908. RNAcentral describes it as "Flavo-1 RNA". It matches the Rfam family "Flavo-1 RNA". The record is from RNAcentral. Lineage: Bacteria; Pseudomonadati; Bacteroidota; Sphingobacteriia; Sphingobacteriales; Sphingobacteriaceae. RNAcentral also lists the same sequence under 1 other name.
UUCUAAACCGGAUUGAAGGGGAGAUCCUUUUUUGCCGCCUGAGCGUAGGGUUGAGUGUAAAAAAGAUCGUACCGGAAAGCCGGAGGAAAC